CGGAAUGGUUGGGGAGGAGCAUCUGGCAACCCUGCACUGCUGUACCCUGCCUCAGUGCCUCACCCACCUACCUACCAGAGUAUACGGAAGCAGUCGGUGGUCGACAGGCAUGGCGUGAGUGUUGAUGUCGGGCUGUGUAACGAGUGACGGUGGGAGGAUAAUUUGCUGUUUUCUGAGGUAAAAUGACGAAACUGCGUGUUACUUUUGAUAGCGUCAAGCUUCUUUGGCAAGAGGAAUCUCCCAAGUUCUUCAUAAUCAGAAGAUAGAGAGGUUAUGGCUGUGUAAAAAUCUGCAAGAGGAGUGACACGUGAAGGAAGUUGAUUAAACAGCAAUGGGUGAGGGUAGCGCAGGACAGAUGUUGAUGUACUAAAGGACCACGUUAUCAACAAUAAGUACAGUAGUGUCUGUCUGUCUU
Homarus americanus (American lobster) is the source of this 415-nucleotide long non-coding RNA. RefSeq lists it as uncharacterized. Lineage: Eukaryota; Metazoa; Arthropoda; Malacostraca; Decapoda; Nephropidae. The record is from RefSeq and is a predicted model, not a curated record. The transcript has 3 exons.